This is a non-coding RNA of Podarcis lilfordi (Lilford's wall lizard), 72 nucleotides long. The record is from the annotation of a GenBank genome assembly. Lineage: Eukaryota; Metazoa; Chordata; Lepidosauria; Squamata; Lacertidae.
GCCGUAGUUCAGUGGCAGAGCAUCCGCUCUGCAUGCAGAAGAUCCUGGGUUCAAUCCUUGACAGCAUCUCCA